AGGACGAACGCUGGCGGCGUGCCUAAGACAUGCAAGUCGAACGGAGCCUUCGGGCUCAGUGGCGAACGGCGGAGUAAUACAUGAGCAACGUACCCUGAAGACUGGGAUAGUCAUUGGAAACGAUGGGUAAUACCAGAUGUGACGGAGGAUCGGCAUCGAUCGUCCAUUAAAAGGUUUUUCGCUUCAGGAGCGGCUCAUGGCCUAUCAGGUAGUUGGUGAGGUAAUGGCUCACCAAGCCGACGACGGGUAGCGGGUCUGAGAGGAUGAUCCGCUCGAGUGGGACUGAGACACGGCCCACACACCUACGGGUGGCAGCAGUUGGGAAUCUUGCACAAUGGGGGAAACCCUGAUGCAGCGACGCCGCGUGGAGGACGAAGGGUCUAGGCUCGUAAACUCCUUUUAUCGGGAAAGACUUAGGACGGUACCCGAUGAAUAGCACCGGCUAACUACGUGCCAGCAGCCGC
Molecule: ribosomal RNA, 464 nt
Filed under: uncultured bacterium
Lineage: Bacteria
Description: SSU rRNA
Rfam family: Bacterial small subunit ribosomal RNA
Source: RNAcentral